Molecule: ribosomal RNA, 285 nt
Filed under: Triticum aestivum (bread wheat)
Lineage: Eukaryota; Viridiplantae; Streptophyta; Magnoliopsida; Poales; Poaceae
Description: partial small subunit ribosomal RNA
Source: RNAcentral
AUGGAUCUGAACCCACAGGUGCUAUGCUGGAACAUUUGAGUCUUGAAUGAUCCGGCGAAGAGGAAGGAGGUGAGGGAAUUUGUGACAUCAGUGCGUGUGAACUUAGUGUGCCUACAAGAGACAAAACUAGAUGUAAUUGAUCGUUUCAGUGUUAUGCAAUGUUUAGGGCCGUCGUUUGACGACUUUGCCUACUUACCUGCGCUGGAAACGAGAGGGGGGUGCUCCUUGCUUGGGACACCACAAUCAUGGAGAUUAACAACAUUCAUCUUGACACUAAUUUUCUAA